AUUGAACGCUGGCGGCAGGCUUAACACAUGCAAGUCGAGCGGGGUGAUGGUGCUUGCACUAUCACUUAGCGGCGGACGGGUGAGUAAUGCUUAGGAAUCUGCCUAUUAGUGGGGGACAACAUCUCGAAAGGGAUGCUAAUACCGCAUACGUCCUACGGGAGAAAGCAGGGGAUCACUUGUGACCUUGCGCUAAUAGAUGUGCCUAAGUCGGAUUAGCUAGUUGGUGGGGUAAAGGCCUACCAAGGCGACGAUCUGUAGCGGGUCUGAGAGGAUGAUCCGCCACACUGGGACUGAGACACGGCCCAGACUCCUACGGGAGGCAGCAGUGGGGAAUAUUGGAGAAUGGGGGGAACCCUGAUCCAGCCAUGACGCGUGUGUGAAGAAGGCCUUAUGGUUGUAAAGCACUUUAAGCGAGGAGGAGGCUCUUUUGGUUAAUACCCAAGAUGAGUGGACGUUACUCGCAGAAUAAGCACCGGCUAACUCUGUGCCAGCCGCCGCCGUAA
This 503-nucleotide ribosomal RNA is filed under the name uncultured bacterium. RNAcentral describes it as "partial 16S ribosomal RNA". It matches the Rfam family "Bacterial small subunit ribosomal RNA", at positions 30 to 523 of the family's 1533-position model. The record is from RNAcentral.